CAGCAGCCGCGGUAAUACGUAGGUCCCGAGCGUUGUCCGGAUUUAUUGGGCGUAAAGGGAGCGCAGGCGGUUUAGUAAGUCUGAAGUUAAAGGCAUUGGCUCAACCAAUGUAUGCUUUGGAAACUGUUAGACUUGAGUGCAGAAGGGGAGAGUGGAAUUCCAUGUGUAGCGGUGAAAUGCGUAGAUAUAUGGAGGAACACCGGUGGCGAAAGCGGCUCUCUGGUCUGUCACUGACGCUGAGGCUCGAAAGCGUGGGGAGCGAACAGGAUUAGAUACCCGUGUAGUCCCUGUCUCUUAUACA
This 301-nucleotide ribosomal RNA is filed under the name uncultured bacterium. RNAcentral describes it as "partial 16S ribosomal RNA". It matches the Rfam family "Bacterial small subunit ribosomal RNA", at positions 509 to 808 of the family's 1533-position model. The record is from RNAcentral.